This 448-nucleotide ribosomal RNA is filed under the name Helcococcus sp. canine oral taxon 069. Its description in RNAcentral is "bacterial SSU rRNA". It matches the Rfam family "Bacterial small subunit ribosomal RNA", at positions 9 to 465 of the family's 1533-position model. The record is from RNAcentral. Lineage: Bacteria; Bacillati; Bacillota; Tissierellia; Tissierellales; Peptoniphilaceae.
GGGUUCGAUUCUGGCUCAGGACAAACGCUGGCGGCGUGCAUAACACAUGCAAGUCGAACGAAAUCUACAUGAUUUAGUGGCGAACGGGUGAGUAACACGUGAGAAACCUGCCUUACACAGAGGGAUAGCCGUUGGAAACGACGAUUAAUACCUCAUGACACCGUGACAUCGCAUGAUGAUGCGGUCAAAGAUUAAUCGGUGUAAGAUGGUCUCGCGCCUGAUUAGCUGGUUGGUGGGGUAACGGCCUACCAAGGCGACGAUCAGUAGCCGAUCUGAGAGGGUGGACGGCCACAUUGGGACUGAGACACGGCCCAAACUCCUACGGGAGGCAGCAGUGGGGAAUUUUGCACAAUGGGGGAAACCCUGAUGCAGCGACGCCGCGUGAACGAAGAAGGCCUUCGGGUUGUAAAGUUCUGUCCUUGGUGAAGAUAAUGACCGNACCAGAGAG